ACUGCUCAGUAACACGUGGGUAACCUGCCCUAUGCUGGAUAAUAACCUCGGGAAACUGAGAAUAAUGAUCUAUAGUUCACUACGCCUGGAACGGUGAGUGGAUGAAAGCCCCGGCGGCAUAGGAUGGGCCUGCGGCGUAUCAGGUUGUAGGGGGUGUAAUGUACCCUCUAGCCCUCUACGCGUACGGGUGUUGAGAGACAUCGCCCGGAGAUGGAUUCUGAGACACGAAUCCAGACCCUACGGGGUGCAGCAGGCGCGAAAACUUGGCAAUGCGAGAAAUCGUGACCAGGGAACUCCAAGUGCAUGGGGUAAGACCUAUGCUUUUCUAGACUCUAAAAAGGUCUUGGAAUAAGAGGUGGGUAAGGACGGUGCCAGCCGCCGCGGUAAUACCGGCGCCUCAAGUGGUAGUCGCUUUUAUUGGGCCUAAAACGUCCGUAGCCGGUCUGAUACAUUCGUGGGUAAAUCAACCAGCUUAACUGGUUGAAUUCUGCGAGGACGGUCAGACUUGGGACCGGGAGAGGUGUGGGGUACGCUCAGGGUAGGGGUAAAAUCCUGUCAUCCUGAGCGGACCACCUGUUGCGAAGGCGCCACACUAGAACGGAUCCGACGGUCAGGGACGAAGCCUAGGGGCACGAACCGGAUUAGAUACCCGGGUAGUCCUAGGUGUAAACGCUGUGGACUUGAUGUUGGGGGUGCUCCGAGCACUCUCAGUGUCGAAGCGAAGGCGAUAAGUCCACUGCCUGGGAAGUACGGUCGCAAGGCUGAAACUUAAAGGAAUUGGCGGGGGAGCA
This 791-nucleotide ribosomal RNA is filed under the name uncultured euryarchaeote. RNAcentral describes it as "bacterial SSU rRNA". It matches the Rfam family "Archaeal small subunit ribosomal RNA", at positions 85 to 878 of the family's 1478-position model. Lineage: Archaea; Methanobacteriati; Methanobacteriota. The record is from RNAcentral.